CACGAUUUGAAAGAAUUUGCUACAUAUCGUUCAGAAUACAUGCACUUAUGCAAAUGUCGUAGAACGCUCGAAGUUAAUCUAUACGAAAACAUUCCAGUCUUAUUCUUCUUGCGCCCAAAUAAAGCCACAAUUUUUUUGCAACUGACAUGUACUUUGGUACCACAGAAAGCAUCAUUUCAACUAUGUGACCAGUUGCUACCAACUACAACACAGGGUAAUCACUGACAUAAGCGAACGUGAAUUAAUCAUAGGAACUGAUACAGAGAAGCAAAGUAUGAAAAUAUUAUAACUCCUGAGGCAACAUGAUUUUAUGGAUAGCAUAUUUCAUAACUGCAUUCUGUUUUCAGAACUGGAACAAAAUUUACUUCCCAAAACCAUUGUAUUAUCUGUACUAAAAAAUAAUUGUCAUAUAUCUGUAACAAAAGUCUAAAAGAAAAGUGAACACCAAAACAUCCAACAACAAACUAUCAUAAAGCAUUCAAUAAUACUGUAAUUCAAUAUGGUCAUAAUUUUUAAUAUCAAUUUACAAUUACAUCACAACACUUAUGUCUUGUAGCAAGAUACAAUUUUACGGCACUUCUUGAAGAGGAAAAUGUCAGUUGUGCAGUAAAUGCUUCAAAAUAUCAACAUUAUGCAUGCAGCAUUCUUACAGGAAUUGUGACCAGAAAAUUAAGAAAGGAAACAAUGCCCAUAGAUUUUGCUGCAUUUGGAUGGGGCAGGUAAAGUAUGUAUAUGGAGGUUCACAUACUUCACUUGGGAACCACAGCCUUAAAACUACAACCUGCCUGCAGAAGUUUUCCAGCUCACAAGAAACAACGUUCACACAGGGCACCUUAAUUUGUAUGAACAAGCAUUUUUUCAUACAGCAAACAUUUAUGUACAUACUCAGGCAAAUACAGCAUUGUGCAUUUAGCAUGAAACCCAUGUACACUGCUUGCAUAAAAAAGCUGCAGAUGCUUGGAAUGGUGUUCAAACAGCAGGCAAAAAAAUAUAUAACAUAAAUAAAUGGAGGAGGAGGUCUUCUAAUACCUGA
Long non-coding RNA from Zootermopsis nevadensis, 1033 nucleotides. RefSeq lists it as uncharacterized. Lineage: Eukaryota; Metazoa; Arthropoda; Insecta; Blattodea; Termopsidae. The record is from RefSeq and is a predicted model, not a curated record.